RNAcentral lists this long non-coding RNA (554 nucleotides) under Dromaius novaehollandiae (emu). RNAcentral describes it as "lncRNA (ENSDNVG00000012239.1)". Lineage: Eukaryota; Metazoa; Chordata; Aves; Casuariiformes; Dromaiidae. The record is from RNAcentral.
AAACAAGAGUUCCGCAACUGAGCAGCACAAGAGACAUGACUGUAAUGAGAACUUGGUAAGCCUGCCCAGGGAUUGCGGAGGAUCAAGGAGUGUGUCGGACCCCAGCGGAGCCAAGCAGCCAGGACAGUCCGAUGGAUUCUCUCCCCUUCACUCGCAUAUGUUUCCUGCUUCUGACCAUUUCAUCUGCCAUUCUAGCUACCACGGUGCCCAGUGGUGACCCUGCUGACUGGACAAAAGACUCUUCCUUGAGCAGCACAAAAGUGACAGCCUAUGACUGCACGCACUGUGGUAUCAGUGUAUGCGAGUUAUCCAAUUUCAGUUGCUGUGUUGUAAUUGGUGAAACACAAAACAAGAUGUUUUCAAAUGAAGUAAUUCAGCUGGUGACCAGUGAAACACAUAUCACUAUGUGCUUUCAGCAAGCAGAUACUUUUCCAGAAGGAAUUUAUGCCAUCAUCUGGGUGAAAGACGAGGGAAUAGGAGAUUCAUGCGGCAYCCUGAAGGCUGAAGCUUCCCCAGAGAAUAGGGAGGAUAUCAUCGUUACAGAGUGGAAGRAG